GGGACGAACGCUGGCGGCGUGCUUAACACAUGCAAGUCGAGCGGAAAGGCCCUUCGGGGUACUCGAGCGGCGAACGGGUGAGUAACACGUGAGUAACCUGCCCUGGACUUUGGGAUAACCCUCGGAAACGGGGGCUAAUACCGGAUAUGACACGCUCUCGCAUGGGAUGUGUGUGGAAAGUUUUUCGGUCUGGGAUGGGCUCGCGGCCUAUCAGCUUGUUGGUGGGGUGAUGGCCUACCAAGGCGACGACGGGUA
Molecule: ribosomal RNA, 255 nt
Filed under: uncultured bacterium
Lineage: Bacteria
Description: partial small subunit ribosomal RNA
Rfam family: Bacterial small subunit ribosomal RNA
Source: RNAcentral